Molecule: small RNA, 91 nt
Filed under: Arabidopsis thaliana (thale cress)
Lineage: Eukaryota; Viridiplantae; Streptophyta; Magnoliopsida; Brassicales; Brassicaceae
Description: ATSL243190
Source: RNAcentral
AAAAAAAAACUCAAAUUCAUCCAUUUUUUUUGUGUUUUUAAAUUUUUUCUUUAAAUGAUAUAGGAGUGUAGAUGAAAAAAUUAAAGCCAUU